RNAcentral lists this transfer RNA (89 nucleotides) under Candidatus Shapirobacteria bacterium CG_4_10_14_0_8_um_filter_39_15. Its description in RNAcentral is "tRNA-Ser". It matches the Rfam family "tRNA". From Rfam's summary of the family: Transfer RNA (tRNA) molecules are approximately 80 nucleotides in length. Their secondary structure includes four short double-helical elements and three loops (D, anti-codon, and T loops). Lineage: Bacteria; Candidatus Shapironibacteriota. RNAcentral also lists the same sequence under 2 other names. The record is from RNAcentral.
GGAGGGUUGGCCGAGAGGUCUAUGGCGAUGGGUUGCUAACCCAUUGAGUUGCAAGACUCGCACAGGUUCAAAUCCUGUACCCUCCGCCA